RNAcentral lists this long non-coding RNA (1024 nucleotides) under Anas platyrhynchos platyrhynchos (common mallard). RNAcentral describes it as "lncRNA (ENSAPLG00000025535.1)". Lineage: Eukaryota; Metazoa; Chordata; Aves; Anseriformes; Anatidae. The record is from RNAcentral.
GCCUUCCCCAGCUGUUGGAUCUGGCACAGGCGGGAGGGGAUUUUUGCAUCGUUGGCCCCCAGCACGGGGGUCACUGGUUGCUGUCCCGGGGGGUGCUCGGGGGCCACGCAGCCGAGCGGAGCCGUCCUGCUCCAUGGCCCCAAAUACCCCCAGGACAGUGGGACUGGGGUCACCAGCAGCUGGCUUCGGGUCCCCAGGCAAGAGGCAGGACCCAACCCCACACCUGGGGUUGUUUUUCUUGCCCUGAGCCCCCCCCACCUGCAGACCCCCAGCUCCUGCCCAGGCAACACCAGGACCUCGGCAAAACCUCGGCCCCUGGGGUGCAGGAUGGGGCCGGGGGCAGGACGGGGAGCUCGGGGCCGGCUGCACAGAGGGGCUGUGGGGGACGAGGUGCAGGGGGGCGAGGCGCUGGCAUCGCACAGGGCUCGUUCCCAGCCCAGCCGCCGCCUGGUCCGGCCGUGCCCAACGCGCUGCCCGCGGGCUGCCCCGGGCUGGCUGCACGCCCCCCGCGGGGCCGGGAUCUGGGAUUUCCAUCAGCGGCGAGGAAGGAAGCCUCGGCUGCAGCCCACGGAGCUGCUUCUCACACACAAGUUUUAUUUUGAUUUUUAUUUUUUUUUUAUGUGCCUGCUGUUUUUACAGCUCAAAAAUCGCUGGGUUUGAUUCCGGGCUGCCGUGCCAACGUCCCGGGCUGCGGCUGCACCAAAGCCGCCCAAACGCUCCCGGGGUCACCGCGGCCACGCGGGGCUCAGCAGGACAGGCACCGGCAUGGGGGGGGGGGGACAGCUGCUGCCACCCCCCCGGCCCUACAGAUGGGGUGCGGGACGGGGGCACACGGGGUGAGCGGGUCCCUGCGUGGGGCAGCUUCGGCCUCGCCUUCAGCCCCCGGGUUUUGGGGAGCUCGUGGCCACGGGGCUCGGACCCCUGCAGGAGGAGGGUGCCGGGGGGCUCAGGGGGGUGGGGGGGCUCCGGGUUUGCCGGGGGGGGGGGGAUUUCUGCACUUUGGGCCCGUGGAGCUGCAGGGAGA